CCUACGGGCGGCAGCAGUGGGGAAUAUUGGGCAAUGGGCGCAAGCCUGACCCAGCAACGCCGCGUGAAGGAAGAAGGCUUUCGGGUUGUAAACUUCUUUUGUCAGGGACGAAGAAAGUGACGGUACCUGACGAAUAAGCCACGGCUAACUACGUGCCAGCAGCCGCGGUAAUACGUAGGUGGCAAGCGUUAUCCGGAUUUACUGGGUGUAAAGGGCGUGUAGGCGGGACUGCAAGUCAGAUGUGAAAACCACGGGCUCAACCUGUGGCCUGCAUUUGAAACUGUUGUUCUUGAGUACUGGAGAGGCAGACGGAAUUCCGAGUGUAGCGGUGAAAUGCGUAGAUAUAAGGAGGAACACCAGUGGCGAAGGCGGACUGCUGGACAGCAACUGACGCUGAGGCGCGAAAGCGUGGGGAGCAAACAGGAUUAGAUACCCCGGUAGUC
This 443-nucleotide ribosomal RNA is filed under the name uncultured bacterium. RNAcentral describes it as "partial 16S ribosomal RNA". It matches the Rfam family "Bacterial small subunit ribosomal RNA", at positions 338 to 795 of the family's 1533-position model. The record is from RNAcentral.